Molecule: long non-coding RNA, 1995 nt
Organism: Gallus gallus (chicken)
Lineage: Eukaryota; Metazoa; Chordata; Aves; Galliformes; Phasianidae
Source: Ensembl
AAGGGCUAGCCUCUGAAGGGGGAGCAUCUCUUGGGUGAAGGCUGCUUCCUGAGAAGUAGUGUUCUGUAGUUAGAAGACCCUCAUCACCAGUCAGAGAUAAAGAUCACAGGAUCAUGGGUUAAUUCAGGAGGGAAAGGAUUCCAGGAUGCCUCUAAACCAAUCUGCUUCUCAGAGACUGCACAACCAACAACCAAUCUGGGCUAUCCACUGCACUGCUGGAUCUAUCUCAGGGUGAAAGGUAGCUUCAAUUGAAGCUGAUAUGAUGGUGGGAUUUAUUAACAACCGAGAAGGAAAAAAAAAAUCAACUAUAUUUUUAUCUGAGAACCUAUGAAACCAGGGAAAGCAAAGCCAUGCUGUUCUGGCCACAGACUGCUACCAAAGAAGAGAUUCAUUAGUCAUAAGUUUGAGCUGUGAAGGUAUACAGGUCAAAUACUAAACAAGGAAUGUGCUUCAUCUCCAGUAUGGAUCAUACAGACCCCUGCUCUUUUCCCAGAAACACAUACAUAAAUCAUAUUUAGAAUGUACAAAAUCCUGUGCAUGCCUAAAAACCUCAAAGUUUUGCUUUAACCAAAUCUUCUCCUUUGUCAUCUUUUAUGGUACAAGACUCGUCUAGAAUCAAAUGAAAAAAGCAGAAGAUAUCAGGAAAUAGAAAAAUUUUAAAUGGUCUGGAAGGUUUUGGAGAAUACAAAACAUUGGUCUAAUAUAAACCUAAGUAGAAAUCCCAUUCAAUAGCUACUCUAUUUCUUGUCUAUUUCUUUAGUCAUUUUUACAUUAAAAGAUGUUUCUAAAAAAAAAUCUAAAAAAAGAUUUUUACAUUAAAAGAUGAACAAAAAUUAAUUUUUCUAAUGUGUACUAGCAGCUCAAAUGGCAACAUUUUCCAAAUGAAUAUGAGAACUGAACUUAAUUUUACUUGCUAGCCUUCAAUUUUUGUGCUUAUCCUCGUUAGUUUUAAUCAUGUACUUUCAAAUCAUUUUCAGUGUUAUUUAUGAUCUGUUUCUUUGUAAUUAAUAGCUACGUGCAUGCCUUUGUGACUCUCACACAUUUUUAGCCACUCAUUUAGUAUUUCUAGAAAGCUGCAGUCUGGUGGCACAGAAACUAGCAAUAGAUGGAACUAGACUGUUGAAAUUAAUGAAAGCUAUAACACUUUAUAGUUUAAUCAUUAGGUCUAGGGACUUAUAUAAUACAACGACUACACUAUAACCAACACUAAAUAAGCACUUUCUUAUAUCUUUAAGGAUUUGUUUUUAGGAUAUCAUUAAAAGGAAAAAUAAAUCAUUGAUGACUUUCUAUCAUGAUUGUAAAUUACAGUUAUUUUCAAAUAUUUUUAAGUAUCAAUUGACAUGAGAGUGUCAUAUCAUAACAUACAUUAGCAGUUUAAUGUUGAGAUAGGAUGAGACUUCAUACAAAUGGUUUUAACUUUUAAGAGGCUCUAUCAGUCCCCUUUGUUAGCAAAGAUGAAAUUUCUGUUCAUAAGUAACAUGAUUUCAAUACACAUUCAGUGAUAAUCCAAGUAAAAAGACACCUAUUCAAGUUGUUCUAUUGAAGUGUACUGAAGGGUUCUAACACAGUUUAUUCCUUUUUAGUGAAGAAAUAACUAGGAAAAUGGAAGCCUAGAAUAAGAAAGUUUUAAUGGCAGUAUAUGGACUCUUUUUUCCCCUAUCAAUAUUUUAUAGGCUAUAUCAUUUAUUUUAGUGCAGUUAAUAUAUUUUCCAAAUGAAAAUGAAUCAUAUCAUUUUGAGAGUUUUAAGCUAUACAAUAUAGUUCUGUGUUGCUAAUAAAAUCAAAAUUAAUAUAACAAGUUACACAUCUGUUUAAAUCAAAUAUCAUUAAAGGAAACAAUACAUGACAUUCAGGAACAGGCAUCUCUCAAAACUAUGUUGAUAUCUGUUGCAUGUUGUAAAUGUUUUGUGAAUUUUUAAAUUAUAUUUGCUUUUUUCACCUGCUUAAUGUACAUGUAAGAAAAUACUCUAUUUGGUCUGUAGUAAACAAGAGCAU